UCGUCAUUGGCUGCUUCUCUUCGCCUCUUCGCCGCAGCGCGCGCGCGGAACGCGAAACGUGAAACACCGAACCGGAAUCGGACCGUAUCCUCAAUUUGCGCGCCUUUUUUCCCCCUCCUCUCCCACUAUCUCUCUUCCGCUCUUCUGUCGUGCCAUCUAUCUGCCUCUAUCUCGACUCGUUGGAAAAGAUGUCCGUUCCGUGUCCGCUCGUUCCGCCAUUUUGGAGCCGUCUCCUCCUGGGAUGAAUCGCGCUGUGGACGACCAAGUUUUCGUUUCCCCGUUCGUUUUUCUUUUCCUGUUAACGAGGACGUUUUGCACGGAGCUAUUGGAGACCCUAGUCGACUCGCCAACCGACAAAAUUCCAAUUACCAGUGAUAGACGAGGGAAUUGCACGCGCGAGAGCAAGUCGAGAAAUUACUCGAAUAGUUGCGCAUGUUCAUUUUAUUACAGUCGAAAAUCAAUUAGCUAGGUGAAGAUUAGCUAACCUCGUCUCACGAGCGAACUUGAAACCUCACAUAUAUAGUAUUUAUGUAUACGAUAAAGGGACUCGAAAUAUCGACGUCCUUCUCUCGCUGUUGGAGAUCUGGCAUGUUUUUGAAAGAAGGCGGCUAAUCACCGAUUAAGGCGAUCUUUCUUCCGAUGCGUUUCUCCCGGAACGAGCUCGCUGCUGGCGAUCAGGGGAAAUACAUCGAACGCACAUCUACAAUACUGAUCGAGUUGCACUGUUGCUCGCCGAUGCAAAAAGGGAGGCAAUCAAUCAUGGCGCGUAUAAUCCAAUUCCGUCUGCCAGUUUAUCGAUAGUGCAAGAGGGGACAACGAAAAUCGUGGCAAAAACGCUCCGAGCGAAGAUAGGAAUUUAUGACAAAUCGACAAAUUUUUUCAGAACAUAUGCUCCAUCCAGGAUGACGAUCUUUUCCUCGUCUAGAAAGGAAAGGAAAAGCUGCUUAUUGUAAAAAUAAGUAAAGUCGGUUUUGUCAAUUUAAUUGCGGUUGUGUAAGAAAUCCGACAUUUAAGAUAUUAUCGAUAACACGCGAGACAACAUCGGAGAACUUUUGUCAACAUUCGUCAGGAUGACGUCUACACAGUUUGGUUGGUUAGUCAGAAGGUAUGGAUGAAGGGUGAGUGACUGAUGCAAACAGAGCCUGAUUUACAGGGAUUUGCUUGACUUUUGCGUUGAUGAAAAAUCUCCAUGGAUUCUCGUCGCGGUCAUUUAAUACGUAAACAGCUAUAUAAUGAAGCAACGCAAUGGAUUUUCAAGAAUCGUUAUUGGGCUCACGUUGGCGAUUGUGUAAAAUAUUAUCAGACUUAUCAUGAUAAACGUUCGAGAAAAUUUUUGUUUAACUCUUAACUAUGGACACACACGCAUUACACAGUGAUGGAUGUGGAAUUCUUGAAACCCCUACAUUUAGAAUAUUUAGAUAUUGAAAAAAAUAGAAAUAAAAAUUGUAUUCCGCAUGUGAUUGUAUCUGUUGUGUUUUUAAACAUUAAUCGUUAGUUUUGCUUUUCUAGAAAAAGAACACAACUGAAUUACACAAAGCGAGUGGCAGAUGUCCCAGAAACUCCUCUUUUCUCUACAUUUAGUUGAAAGUUAACGUAAUGAGAUUUUUAUAAUUUUAGUAACAUUUGUUUGAAACUAGAUAUAAUUCUGUGUAAUGCAGUCGUUGAGAUUUGUCACAUGUCUGAAAACUUUUAGAGUUGUAAAGUGUAUGUACUGGUGAAGUACCUAACGAUGCAUUUGCUUAGCUCGUCGAACAUUGCAGAUCGCGAAACUAUUCAGGGCAACUGUUUCAACGGCCACUGCGAGGAGUUUGGGUAGAAAUUAAUGGAAUCCUUGGCAGGAUGUAACAUGGCACACAGACAUUCUACGUGUUAUAUAUCGGUGACAUGUUUGUAAGAUAGAAAAGCAUUCCUUCGAACGGUGGUCUUUGAUUACUGGCGCACGCGAUGAAAAAAUCAAAUACGUCUCGUCAAGUUCAUAUGGGAUGCUUUUUUAUAUAUAUUCUUUUUAAAAAAUAUAUAACAAGUAAUUUUUCUACGUUCAAAAGAAUUAUUGUUUUACA
RNAcentral lists this long non-coding RNA (2060 nucleotides) under Monomorium pharaonis (pharaoh ant). RNAcentral describes it as "uncharacterized LOC105836336, transcript variant X2". The record is from RNAcentral. Lineage: Eukaryota; Metazoa; Arthropoda; Insecta; Hymenoptera; Formicidae.